Molecule: ribosomal RNA, 301 nt
Filed under: uncultured bacterium
Lineage: Bacteria
Description: partial 16S ribosomal RNA
Rfam family: Bacterial small subunit ribosomal RNA
Source: RNAcentral
CAGCAGCCGCGGGAAUACGAAGGGUGCAAGCGUUAAUCGGAAUUACUGGUCGUAAAGCGUGCGUAGGCGGUUUGUUAAGUCUGUUGUGAAAUCCCCGGGCUCAACCUGGGAAUGGCAAUGGAUACUGGCAAGCUAGAGUGUGUCAGAGGAUGGUGGAAUUCCCGGUGUAGCGGUGAAAUGCGUAGAGAUCGGGAGGAACAUCAGUGGCGAAGGCGGCCAUCUGGGACAACACUGACGCUGAGGCACGAAAGCGUGGGGAGCAAACAGGAUUAGAUACCCCCGUAGUCCCUGUCUCUUAUAC